This 492-nucleotide ribosomal RNA is filed under the name uncultured bacterium. RNAcentral describes it as "partial 16S ribosomal RNA". It matches the Rfam family "Bacterial small subunit ribosomal RNA", at positions 29 to 507 of the family's 1533-position model. The record is from RNAcentral.
AGUGAACGCUGGCGGUAGGCCUAACACAUGCAAGUCGAACGGCAGCACAGUAAGAGCUUGCUCUUACGGGUGGCGAAUGGCGGACGGGAGAGGAAUACAUCGGAAUCUACUUUUUCGUAGGGGAUAACGUAGGGAAACUUACGCUCAUACCGCAUACGACCUACGGGUGAGAGCAGGGGAUCUUCUGACCUUGCGCGAUUGAAUGAGCCGAUGUCGGAUUAGCUAGUUGGCGGGGUGAAGGCCAACCAAGUCGACGAUCCGUAGCUGGUGUGAGAGGAUGGUCAGCCACACUGGAACUUAGCCACCGUCCAUAGUCCUACGGGAGGCAGCAGUGGGGAAUAUGGGACAAUGGGCGCAAGCCUGAUCCAGCCAUACCGCGUGGGUGAAGAAGGCCUCCGGGUUGUAAAGACCUUUUGCGGGGAAAGAAAAGCAGCAGGUUAAUACCCCGCUGGUCUGACGGUACCCAAAGAAUAAGCACCGGCUAACUUCGUG